UACGUAGGGUGCAAGCGUUGUCCGGAAUUAUUGGGCGUAAAGAGCUCGUAGGCGGUCUGUCGCGUCGGAUGUGAAAAUCCAGGGCUCAACCCUGGACCUGCAUUCGAUACGGGCAGACUAGAGUUCGGUAGGGGAGACUGGAAUUCCUGGUGUAGCGGUGAAAUGCGCAGAUAUCAGGAGGAACACCGGUGGCGAAGGCGGGUCUCUGGGCAUUACCUGACGCUGAGGAGCGAAAGUGUGGGGAGCGAACAGG
Molecule: ribosomal RNA, 253 nt
Filed under: uncultured bacterium
Lineage: Bacteria
Description: partial 16S ribosomal RNA
Rfam family: Bacterial small subunit ribosomal RNA
Source: RNAcentral